AAAUUGAAGAGUUUGAUCAUGGCUCAGAUUGAACGCUGGCGGCAGGCCUAACACAUGCAAGUCGAACGGUAGCACAGAGAGCUUGCUCUCGGGUGACGAGUGGCGGACGGGUGAGUAAUGUCUGGGAAACUGCCCGAUGGAGGGGGAUAACUACUGGAAACGGUAGCUAAUACCGCAUAAUGUCGCAAGACCAAAGAGGGGGACCUU
Molecule: ribosomal RNA, 207 nt
Filed under: Klebsiella oxytoca
Lineage: Bacteria; Pseudomonadati; Pseudomonadota; Gammaproteobacteria; Enterobacterales; Enterobacteriaceae
Description: partial 16S ribosomal RNA
Rfam family: Bacterial small subunit ribosomal RNA
Source: RNAcentral